UACGAAGGGGGCUAGCGUUGCUCGGAAUCACUGGGCGUAAAGCGCACGUAGGCGGAUCUUUAAGUCAGGGGUGAAAUCCUGGAGCUCAACUCCAGAACUGCCUUUGAUACUGGGGAUCUCGAGUCCGGGAGAGGUGAGUGGAACUCCGAGUGUAGAGGUGAAAUUCGUAGAUAUUCGGAAGAACACCAGUGGCGAAGGCGACUUACUGGACACAUAUUGACGCUGAGGUGCGAAAGCGUCGGGAGCAAACAGG
This 253-nucleotide ribosomal RNA is filed under the name uncultured bacterium. RNAcentral describes it as "partial 16S ribosomal RNA". It matches the Rfam family "Bacterial small subunit ribosomal RNA", at positions 524 to 776 of the family's 1533-position model. The record is from RNAcentral.